Molecule: long non-coding RNA, 209 nt
Organism: Oncorhynchus keta (chum salmon)
Lineage: Eukaryota; Metazoa; Chordata; Actinopteri; Salmoniformes; Salmonidae
Exons: 3
Source: RefSeq, a predicted model, not a curated record
GGGGUGGGGUGUGUGUAGGUGAAGACUGGGGUUGAGGUGUGUGUAGGUGAAGACUGGGGUUGAGGUGUGUGUAGGUGAAGACUGGGGUUGGGGUGUGUGUAGGUGAAGACUGGGGUUGAGGUGUGUGUAGGUGAAGACUGGGGUUGAGGUGUGUGUAGGUGAAGACUGGGGGUGGGGUGUGUGUAGGUGAAGACUGGGGGUGGGGUGUG